CGCACGAGAACACCUCAGCUUGCUGGGGUAAGUAAAGUGGCGCACGGGUGAGUAACGCGUGGGUAAUCUGCCCUCGAAUCUGGGAUAACCCCGCGAAAGCGGGGCUAAUACCGGAUGAAAUCCAGUUAGCUUUGGCUAUAUGGAUCAAAGGUGGCCUCUGCAUGCAAGCUACUGUUUGGGGAUGAGCCCGCGUACCAUUAGCUUGUUGGUGGGGUAAAGGCCCACCAAGGCGACGAUGGUUAGCUGGUCUGAGAGGAUGAUCAGCCACACUGGAACUGGAACACGGUCCAGACUCCUACGGGAGGCAGCAGUGAGGAAUUUUGCGCAAUGGGGGUAACCCUGACGCAGCAACGCCGCGUGAGUGAUGAAGGCCUUCGGGUCGUAAAGCUCUGUCAAGUGGGAAGAACCCAUUCCGGCACAACAAGCCGGGGUGCUGACGGUACCACUGAAGGAAGCACCGGCUAACUCCGUGCCAGCAGCCGCGGUAAUACGGAGGGUGCGAGCGUUAUUCGGAAUUACUGGGCGUAAAGGGCGCGUAGGCGGCCGAUUAAGUCAGAUGUGAAAUCCCGGGGCUUACCCCCGGAAGUGCAUUUGAUACUGAACGGCUUGAGUAUGGGAGAGGGAAGUGGAAUUCCUGGUGUAGCGGUGAAAUGCGUAGAUAUCAGGAGGAACACCGGUGGCGAAGGCGACUUCCUGGACCAAUACUGACGCUGAGGCGCGAAGGCGUGGGGAGCAAACAGGAUUAGAUACCCUGGUAGUCCUCGCAGUAAAACGGUGAUCACUAGGUGUAGCGGGUAUUGACCCCUGCUGUGCCGGAGUUAACGCAUUAAGUGAUCCGCCUGGGGAGUACGGCCGCAAGGUUAAAACUCGAAGGAAUUGACGGGGGCCCGCACAAGCGGUGGAGCAUGUGGCCUAAUUCGACGCAACGCGAAGAACCUUACCUGGAUUUGACAUCUCGGGAAUCCCGCGGAAACGCGGGAGUGCCCUUCGGGGAGCCCGAAGACAGGUGCUGCAUGGCUGUCGUCAGCUCGUGUCGUGAGAUGCUGGGUUAAGUCCCGCAACGAGCGCAACCCCUAUCUUCAGUUACCAGCGAGUAAAGUCGGGGACUCUGGAGAUACUGCCCCGGUCAACGGGGAGGAAGGUGGGGAUGACGUCAAGUCCUCAUGGCCUUUAUGUCCAGGGCUACACACGUGCUACAAUGGGCUGUACAGAGGGAAGCGAUCUCGCGAGGGUGAGCCAAUCCCAAAAAGCAGUCCUCAGUUCGGAUUGGAGUCUGCAACUCGACUCCAUGAAGCUGGAAUCGCUAGUAAUCGCGGAUCAGCAUGCCG
RNAcentral lists this ribosomal RNA (1328 nucleotides) under uncultured organism. Its description in RNAcentral is "bacterial SSU rRNA". It matches the Rfam family "Bacterial small subunit ribosomal RNA", at positions 63 to 1359 of the family's 1533-position model. The record is from RNAcentral.